This is a long non-coding RNA of Lytechinus pictus (painted urchin), 2851 nucleotides long. RefSeq lists it as uncharacterized. The transcript is spliced from 2 exons. The record is from RefSeq and is a predicted model, not a curated record. NCBI's taxonomy places the organism in Eukaryota, Metazoa, Echinodermata, Echinoidea, Temnopleuroida, Toxopneustidae.
AGACGAUCCGCUUCUGCUUUCCACAGCCAUGUCUAUCUGCCUGUGCCUGAGGUCUGACGUGAUCAGAGGUAAUCUUUCUGAAAUACCGUACCGGUACCGUACGGGUAAAAAUCGAACAAUAUCUUAUGGCCAUGUACAAUCCCCGCUCUAACACUUAGAAUAAAUGAAGUUAAUGAUCAGAAAAAUAUCCACCGUCCAGCAGUACGAUCUCGAAAUACAGCUAACAAAGUUAGCCCAGUGCGCGUGCAUGCACCGCGCCGUACCGUACGUACCGACGCGACGCGAUCGACGGCGUGCUUUCGGCGCGUGUAUCGGGGAUACGGUGCUGUACAUGUAGCUAAGUUUGAGACUCCGACUCCGUCAUCGACUUUGGUCUUAUGAAUCCUUUUCUUGCCUGAAACGAAACGUGUGAUAUAUCUUCAAGCCAUCAGCAGUGACAUACAACACUUGAUGCAAAACAGUUGAUUCAACAAUGGCAGACCUGACUAUAGAGGACCGAUCACAGGAACAAGCUGCCAGGUCGUUUCUUCGUCGGAGAUUCCUGCACUUCCUUAUAGCUGUUUCAAAGCAAGAGAUGGACUUUACCAUGCAUGAGCAUACUAAUGUUUCUGGAGAAUUUGGUAUGAUGGACAUCAAUGUUCAACAGGUACAGGUUUCCAAUCUUAAGACACCCAUUGGGGUACAGAAAGAAGCCAUUCUUAGAGCAACUGACAUUGUGGCAUUUACUCUUCAAGCUCCAUUGGUUCAAGUUCCGGAGAGUUGACAGCAAAUCAAUCUACUGUUGACAAUAGUUAAAUAGAGCUUGAUGUUGUAAGUACAUUUAGCCGGAUUGAGGACUGAGGAGAAAAGAGUUCUCAGAAGAAUUGAUGGCACAUGGAGAAUGGGAAAUUGAUUUGAAUCAGGGAUCUUGACCCAUUAAACAUUUAUCAGCUCUCAUCUACUCCUUCCAAACUCUUUAAGGGUAAACUAUCAACUCUGCAUGGGGUUUAUUUAUCAUCCAGGCUAUGUGAUUUUCAACAAGGUAGAGAGCAUAGAAGGCUUGUGAUCUGAACAGGGUCCUGUUGCAUUACUACUUUGCUAUUUGAUAGUAUAGAGUCCUCAGUUUUGAUUGGCUGUUGAUCAUCAGUUACCAUUGGAUGGCAAAGUUGCCGUAAUAGUAACAUUUAUGCAACGGGCCCAGGAUAGAGUAUUGAUUUAUGUCUAUUUAUCGUGUCUGAGAAAUUGCGGAAUGGUGGAAGGGGAGAUAUAUCCCCCUCCACUUUACAAGGAGGGGGAUAAAUGUCUGCCCUUUUCGAGAAAGGAAUUAGAUAUUUUUUUGUAUUUAUAUCACCAAGUAAAUGACAUUUAGAUAGUCAUAUGGAUUCCUCUUUGAAUGCAAUGCUUGAAUUAUUUCAAUUUUGCAUUGAAAAUGCAAUGACUCUUGUUCAGUCACCAUGCUUCCUCCAUUUCAUUUUGCACAUCAACAUGAAAAUAUUUCUGUCCUGCCACAUUCUUUUGUAAGGCUUUUUUAAAGAAAUAGAUUACAUUAACUGAUUCAUGUCAGUAUGAUUACAAUUGUUCUUUUUUUAUUUUUACAAGUUGUAAGAUCCUUUUUUUAUCUAGGAUUAUUCAAAUUCUUCCUUAUUUAGGCUUUUUAUUGCAUCAAAGCAGUGUCCUCUUUCUAAGUCCUGUUUCCUUUUUACAUUCAAAUGAAUUGCCUCUUUCUAUUUUUACCUCUGAAAACCUCUUCUCUUACAUGUACAUUAGAACAAUCCAGCCUACCUGUACCUGUUUUAGUAAUGUACCCCGUAUUGUGAAGUAAUAUUUUUGUAUAUCUGAUGCUUAUAGUGCCCUGUAGCUCAUUUAAAGACACCCUUAUUCUUGGUGAUAAGUACCACUAUUCUUUUAAAAGCAACAAAACUCUUCCAUUUUCACCUCUCCUGUGAUCAGUCAGGAGUGCCAAUUGCUCAUUUCAAUUUGCCUCAAUUUUGUUCCUUUUUAUAAGUCUAAUUUCUGUUCUUGAUCAGUGCCUGGUUUGUACAUUAUAGCCCUGGGGAGCGUUUCAUGAAAGGACUUGUCAGACGUUUUGUUUUGUUUUUUCUGACAAGUCCUGUUUUAUCUGACAGUUACCACAGUAACAGUGCUUCUCAUCAGCCAAUCAAAAUCAAGGGAAGUUGUCAGAUCUUACAACUUGGCUGACAAAAAUGUUGAUGAAACGCUUCCAUGACUAAAUGCAACUUUUAAAAGGAUUGCUUGUUUUGCUCUUGUGCAAUGAUAUAGGAAACAAAUUGUAAGAGGCCUUUAUAAUUUCUCAUAUAUUAUGUUUUAAAUGUAUUGGACUUAUCAAUCCGUGAAUGACUGUAGUUUGUUGUGAUUGUGCUAAGUAUUUUCCCAGAGUAACUACACCUACACUGUAUGGAUCUUACUGGGAGAUGACCUACUGAAUUAUCGUGGGAACUUCCAUGUAAUAUCUCAAUGGUGUGGUGACUUAUAACUUUCUAUUGAAUUCAUUUCCUUGUGAAUUAUACUUGUAGUACUUUGAAUGUUUCAAAUUGUCUUGUCCUGUAACAUUGUUAUUAAAGCAUUUCAAAUUUUGAAAAUAGUACAAAGAUGUUUAGUGAGAUUUUUUUUGUUUCCAGGUAAUGUUUUGGACAUGUGACUAAUCCUAUUAUUAGUACAUGCAACACUAUGUAUACAUUACAAAGUAAAUUUAUGCUCAUGGACUUGGCCCGUAAAAUUAUUUUCACUUCAGAUGACUUUACUUAAAAGAGAUCAAGUGCCGUCUUACAUACAGUGUUGUGAAAGAUUCAAGUCAACUAAACUUAUUUUGAGAUUGAUCUCAAAUUAAAUAAUAAAGAUAUAGUAACUGGGA